GUCUUUUUGAGCUAUUUUUAAAGUCUAACCUGCCCACUGAAUUUUUAAAUGGCCGCAGUAUUUUAACUGUGCAAAGGUAGCAUAAUCAUUAGUCUUUUAAUUGGAGGCUGGUAUGAAUGGUUGGACGAGGUAUUUACUGUUUCAUAUAUAUUUAUGUUAGAAUUUUAUUUUUUAGUUAAAAAGCUAAAAUAAUAUUAAAAGACGAGAAGACCCUAUAAAUCUUUAUAUUUUGUAUAAUUUAAAUUUUUUGGUUUUAUUUUAUUUUUAUUAUAUGAAAUAUUUUGUUGGGGUGAUGUUAAAAUUUAAGGAACUUUUAAUUAUUUAGAAUCAUUAAUUUAUGUUUUAUUGAUCCAUUAAUAGUGAUUAUCAGAUUAAGUUACUUUAGGGAUAACAGCGUAAUUUUUUUGGAGAGUUCAUAUCGAUAAAAAAGUUUGCGACCUCGAUGUUGGAUUAAGAUAUAAUUUUGGGUGUAGCUGCUCAAAUUUUAAGUCUGUUCGACUUUUAAAUUCUU
This 511-nucleotide ribosomal RNA is filed under the name Dacus longistylus. Its description in RNAcentral is "partial 16S ribosomal RNA". The stretch from base 387 to 511 matches the Rfam family "Bacterial large subunit ribosomal RNA", at positions 2473 to 2597 of the family's 2925-position model. Lineage: Eukaryota; Metazoa; Arthropoda; Insecta; Diptera; Tephritidae. The record is from RNAcentral.